Non-coding RNA from Felis catus (domestic cat), 85 nucleotides. The record is from Rfam. Lineage: Eukaryota; Metazoa; Chordata; Mammalia; Carnivora; Felidae.
GCCUGGGUGGCUCUGUCAGUUAAGCGUCUGACUUUGGCUCAGGUCGUGAUCUCACAGUUCGUGGGUUCGAGCCCCACGUUGGGCU